This is a long non-coding RNA of Oncorhynchus nerka (sockeye salmon), 554 nucleotides long. RefSeq lists it as uncharacterized. The transcript has 2 exons. NCBI's taxonomy places the organism in Eukaryota, Metazoa, Chordata, Actinopteri, Salmoniformes, Salmonidae. The record is from RefSeq and is a predicted model, not a curated record.
CUGCAGGUGGAGAGUUGGGUCUGACCGUAGAGCUGCAGGUGGAGAGUUGGGUCUGACCGUAGAGCUGCAGGUGGAGAGUUGGGUCUGACCGUAGAGCUGCAGGUGGAGAGUUGGGUCUGACCGUAGAGCUGCAGGUGGAGUUGGGUCUGACCGUAGAGCUGCAGGUGGAGAGUUGGGUCUGACCGUAGAGCUGCAGGUGGAGAGUUGGGUCUGACCGUAGAGCUGCGAAGUGGAGAGUUGGGUCUGACCGUAGAGCUGCAGGUGGAGAGUUGGGUCUGACCGUAGCGCUGCAGGUGGACUGCUGGAACAUGGAUCCAGGACUCUCUACUAUAUUUGUCAACCAGUGAACCCUGAAUUAUGUCCACAGAAACUGCAAUUCAUCAACUGCUAUUAUUGAAGUUGUUUUUUUUGUCUUUAUAAUAAUAACGGUAAUUAUUCAUCCGAAACAGAUUUCAAUGAUUGAUGUAAAGUUUAUAUGAUUCAAAACAAUGUAUUUUAUCCAUGGUGAUUGAAUGGAUGGCUUGGAAUUAUAAAAAAAUAGCAUUGUCAACAGA